UUACGUCCAUAUCAUGUUUAAAUACCAGUUCCUGUACGAUUACUGAAGUUAAGCAACGUCAAGCCUAGUCAGUACCUAAAUGGGUGAUCUUGUGGGAAUAAGAGGUGGUGUC
Acanthosepion pharaonis is the source of this 112-nucleotide non-coding RNA. Lineage: Eukaryota; Metazoa; Mollusca; Cephalopoda; Sepiida; Sepiidae. The record is from the annotation of a GenBank genome assembly.